RNAcentral lists this ribosomal RNA (451 nucleotides) under uncultured bacterium. RNAcentral describes it as "partial 16S ribosomal RNA". It matches the Rfam family "Bacterial small subunit ribosomal RNA", at positions 30 to 507 of the family's 1533-position model. The record is from RNAcentral.
AGCGAACGCUGGCGGCAUGCCUAACACAUGCAAGUCGCACGGGGGGGCUUCGGCCUCCCAGUGGCGGACGGGUGAGGAACGCGUAGGGACCUGUCGAGGGGUGGUGGAUAACCGCGGGAAACUGCGGCUAAUACCGCAUGACGCCGCGGCGUGACAUCCGGGGCCACAGGCGAAAGCCGCCCUCCGCGGGGCGGCCGUCGGAUUAGCAGGUUGGCGGGGUGGCGGGACACCAAGGCGUGGAACGGUAGCUGGGAGGAGAGGGUGGGCAGCCACCCCGGGACUGAGCCACGGUCGGGACUCCUACGGGAGGCAGCAGUGGGUAAUAUUGGACCACGGGCGCAAGGCUGAUCCAGCACGGCCGGGUGAGUGAAGAAGGUCGUCGGAUAGUAAAGCCCUUGCGGCGGUGACGAUGGUGACGGUACCCGCAGAAGAAGCCCCGGCUAACUUCGUG